RNAcentral lists this long non-coding RNA (1374 nucleotides) under Capra hircus (goat). Its description in RNAcentral is "lncRNA (ENSCHIG00010011977.1)". Lineage: Eukaryota; Metazoa; Chordata; Mammalia; Artiodactyla; Bovidae. The record is from RNAcentral.
CGUCAGUCCAGUCUCUUCCGCAGCAGACGGUUAACAAGGCCCCCCCCUCAAAGCAAAGGGCUCCUUAACUCCAAAUUCAGUUUGCACAGAGAAGAGGAAAGAAUCAGACAUAAACUAUAAAUUGAAUCAAUUAUCUUUAUUUUUUAAUUUAAAUAUAAAAAGUGAAGGAUAAAAGCAGUAANNNNNNNNNNNNNNNNNNNNNNNNNNNNNNNNNNNNNNNNNNNNNNNNNNNNNNNNNNNNNNNNNNNAGCAAUUACUGUGAGCAGCCCUUGACUAUGUGGGUACCACCCAAGAGCUCCAGCCAACUCCACCAUUAGACUCAGCAGCAGAUGCCAUCCGGGACCCAGAGCUGCUCUUCUGAUCACACCAGGAGGAACCUUCUUUGUCACCGGGGCACAGAGAGAACCCAAGUCUGUGCCUUCAGACACAUCUGCCAGGCUCCAAGCGGAAGGCUCAGGCUGAGUUGUGUUCUUCAUGUUCUCCUUCUUUGCCUCCUGCUGUUUGAUUGUUUUCUCCAUUUCAAAAUCAAAGCCAGGAGGCAUGAUGGGUGGCUUCUCUGGCAUUUUUUUAGGGAAAAUGCACUCACUGUAAAGAUUUCUGGAAUCCAAUUUCCGUGCUUUAAAUUUGCAGAGCCCUGCUUCUACAGGACUACAUUUUUUUGGAUUUUCCAACACCUCCACCACUUCUUGCUGCAUUUUUAUUCUCUUCUCUGAUUCUUGCUUUUCAGUGCUUUUUAGGAUCUUCUGUACAUGAGAAAAACAACCUGAAAAAAAUAGAUAUGCAAUUAUGCAUGACUGAAUUAAGUUCCUGUACGCCUUAUACAAACACAACAUUGGAAAUCAACUCUAUUCCAAUAUAAGAGCAAAAUGAAAUUGCACAGAAACAAAAAGAAAAAAGAAAGGGACGUGAAAAAAUGCUGCCGCUUUGUGGCCAUUUUCCAUAAUAAUGUCGAAAGCUGAGCUGAUGGGCACUUAAUAUUCAGAAGGUCUGCGGGGUCCGGAGUAAACAACACCUACCUUCAACGAAUGUUCUAGGAGUGUUCAUCAAAACACAAGAGUCAAUUGCAAGAUGUUUCACUCAUACCCUUUAAAAAAUAUCACAGGAAAUGAUGUCAACCUUGUGAAGUAUUAGAGAAAUCCAAAUCAAAACUACAAUGAGGUAUCACCUCACGCUGGUCAGAAUGGCCAUUAUUAAACACUUUAUAAAGAAUCCAAGGCUGGAGAGGGUGUGGAGAAAUGAGAAUUGUCCUCCACGGAUGCUGGAAUGUCAAAUGGAGACAGUGUGCAUGUAUGCUAAGUCACUUCAGUCAUGUCUGAUUCUUUUUGACUCCAUGGACUGUAACCUGCCAGGCUCCUCUGUCCAUGGGAUUCUCCA